RNAcentral lists this ribosomal RNA (493 nucleotides) under uncultured bacterium. Its description in RNAcentral is "partial 16S ribosomal RNA". It matches the Rfam family "Bacterial small subunit ribosomal RNA", at positions 29 to 523 of the family's 1533-position model. The record is from RNAcentral.
AUUGAACGCUGGCGGCAUGCUUUACACAUGCAAGUCGAACGGUAACAGGUUAAGCUGACGAGUGGCGAACGGGUGAGUAAUGCAUCGGAACGUGCCCGAUCGUGGGGGAUAACGCAGCGAAAGCUGCGCUAAUACCGCAUACGAUCUGAGGAUGAAAGCGGGGGACCGUAAGGCCUCGCGCGAUCGGAGCGGCCGAUGUCAGAUUAGGUAGUUGGUGGGGUAAAGGCUCACCAAGCCAACGAUCUGUAGCUGGUCUGAGAGGACGACCAGCCAGACGGGGACUGAGACACGGCCCAGACUCCUACGGGAGGCAGCAGUGGGGAAUUUUGGACAAUGGGCGAAAGCCUGAUCCAGCAAUGCCGCGUGCAGGAAGAAGGCCUUCGGGUUGUAAACUGCUUUUGUACGGAGCGAAAAGGCUCUCUCUAAUACAGGGGGCUCAUGACGGUACCGUAAGAAUAAGCACCGGCUAACUACGUGCCAGCCGCCGCGGUAA